This 900-nucleotide ribosomal RNA is filed under the name Elsinoe perseae. RNAcentral's name for it is "LSU rRNA". It matches the Rfam family "Eukaryotic large subunit ribosomal RNA", at positions 38 to 960 of the family's 3401-position model. Lineage: Eukaryota; Fungi; Ascomycota; Dothideomycetes; Myriangiales; Elsinoaceae. The record is from RNAcentral.
GCAUAUCAAUAAGCGGAGGAAAAGAAACCAACAGGGAUUGCCUCAGUAACGGCGAGUGAAGCGGCAACAGCUCAAAUUUGAAAUCUGGCGCCUCCGGCGUCCGAGUUGUAAUUUGUAGAGGAUGCUAUUGGGUUGCCACCGGUCUAAGUUCCUUGGAACAGGACGUCACAGAGGGUGAGAAUCCCGUAUGUGACCGGCCAGGCGCCCUCCGUAUAGCUCCUUCGACGAGUCGGGUUGUUUGGGAAUGCAGCCCUAAAUGGGAGGUAAAUUUCUUCUAAAGCUAAAUACCGGCCAGAGACCGAUAGCGCACAAGUAGAGUGAUCGAAAGAUGAAAAGCACUUUGGAAAGAGAGUUAAAAAGCACGUGAAAUUGUUGAAAGGGAAGCGCUUGCAAUCAGUCUCGACGGCGGCUGUUCGGCCUCUCUUCUGAGUGGUUUAUUCAGUCGCCGCCGGGCCAGCAUCAGUUUCGGCGGUCGGACAAAGGCGCGGGGAAUGUAGCUCCCUCGGGAGUGUUAUAGCCCCGCGUGCAAUACGGCCCGCCGGGACUGAGGUCCGCGCUCCGGCUAGGAUGCUGGCGAAAUGGUUGUAAGCGGCCCGUCUUGAAACACGGACCAAGGAGUCUAACAUCUACGCGAGUGUUUGGGUGUCAAACCCGUGCGCGCAAUGAAAGUGAACGGAGGUGGGAACCGCAAGGUGCACCAUCGACCGAUCCUGAUGUCUUCGGAUGGAUUUGAGUAAGAGCGUAGCUGUUGGGACCCGAAAGAUGGUGAACUAUGCCUGAAUAGGGUGAAGCCAGAGGAAACUCUGGUGGAGGCUCGCAGCGGUUCUGACGUGCAAAUCGAUCGUCAAAUUUGGGUAUAGGGGCGAAAGACUAAUCGAACCAUCUAGUAGCUGGUUCUGC